GAUGAACGCUGGCGGCGUGCCUAAUACAUGCAAGUCGAGCGAACAGAUAAGGAGCUUGCUCCUUUGACGUUAGCGGCGGACGGGUGAGUAACACGUGGGUAACCUACCUAUAAGACUGGGAUAACUUCGGGAACCCGGAGCUAAUACCGGAUAAUAUUUCGAACCGCAUGGUUCGAUAGUGAAAGAUGGUUUUGCUAUCACUUAUAGAUGGACCCGCGCCGUAUUAGCUAGUUGGUAAGGUAACGGCUUACCAAGGCGACGAUACGUAGCCGACCUGAGAGGGUGAUCGGCCACACUGGAACUGAGACACGGUCCAGACUCCUACGGGAGGCAGCAGUAGGGAAUCUUCCGCAAUGGGCGAAAGCCUGACGGAGCAACGCCGCGUGAGUGAUGAAGGUCUUCGGAUCGUAAAACUCUGUUAUUAGGGAAGAACAUACGUGUAAGUAACUGUGCACGUCUUGACGGUACCUAAUCAGAAAGCCACGGCUAACUACGUG
Molecule: ribosomal RNA, 497 nt
Filed under: uncultured bacterium
Lineage: Bacteria
Description: partial 16S ribosomal RNA
Rfam family: Bacterial small subunit ribosomal RNA
Source: RNAcentral